GUCCUUUUGUAUUUAAUAUAAGGUCUGACCUGCCCACUGAUAAUUUAAUGGCCGCAGUAUACUAACUGUGCAAAGGUAGCAUAAUAAUUAGUCUUUUAAUUGAAGGCUGGAAUGAAUGGUCGGACGAAAUAUUAACUGUUUCAUUAAAAUUUGAAUAAGAAUUUUAUUUUUUAGUCAAAAAGCUAAAAUUUUUUUAAAAGACGAGAAGACCCUAUAAAGCUUUAUAUUCAAUUUUAACUAGAUAACUUAGGCAUUUUAUAUUUAGUUAUAGUUGAGUAUUUUAUUGGGGUGAUAUGAAAAUUUAAUAAACUUUUUUAUUUAUUUACAUUAAUUUAUGAAAAAAUGAUCCACUUUUUGUGAUUAAAAAUUUAAGUUACUUUAGGGAUAACAGCGUAAUUUUUUUGGAGAGUUCAUAUCGAUAAAAAAGAUUGCGACCUCGAUGUUGGAUUAAGGAAUAUAUUUAG
RNAcentral lists this ribosomal RNA (464 nucleotides) under Limnia boscii. RNAcentral describes it as "partial 16S ribosomal RNA". It matches the Rfam family "Bacterial large subunit ribosomal RNA", at positions 1819 to 2551 of the family's 2925-position model. Lineage: Eukaryota; Metazoa; Arthropoda; Insecta; Diptera; Sciomyzidae. The record is from RNAcentral. RNAcentral also lists the same sequence under 1 other name.